AUGAGCCUCGCUGCUCUGACUAAUGCCACUCUGUCCUCGGCAAUCACAGGGCAUAGAAGGUUGCAGGGCCGCCAGCCCCUCCCAGUGACAAGAAUGAAUGUCACAGCUGUGGAGCAGAGCCAGCUCCUCCCCUGGCCUCCCGGAGCCGGGCACUCGGUCCGUGUACCAUUGGCAGCACCAGCCUCAGACCAGCGCCAAGCAUCAGGCAGAUGGACAGAGGGAGAGAGAGACAGAUGGCUGUUUCCAGAGGAACCAGGAUUCGUGACCACACCACCACACACCAGGCGACUGCGGGACCCCACGGCUGGAGGACACACAGGACAGAGCUCAUGCACGGAUCCAGCACUGCGUUUUUCCCUGGAAAUGGGGACAGAGACACCCUGGUCUCCAAGGGCUGUGGCGAGGAUUCGGUGACCCAAGGCAGAGAGGUCCUGCAGCGGGCUGUGGCUGGGUGUGGGCAGGGCCUUUGCUCCUCUGGUUACUGCCUGCUUUGGCCUCCCCAGCCUGUGGGGCCUGCGAGGGGAACUCAGGGCGCUUGCUGGGCAUGGCAGGGGCCCGUGAUGUUCACAAGAUUCUGCUCCUGUCCAUCUGAUUCCUGCCCUUGGUCCAGGCCACAUCUAUGACAUCUGUGUGGUCACCGCCUCAUCUCUCAUGCGACUUCCCUGGAAAGGAGGCGGUAUGGGCCAGGGGAGUGGGGCUGUGGACGGCUCUGAGAGGUGGAGAGGGGCUGAGGUGUAGGAGGGUCAGGCAGUGUGUGCUUGGGACCAGAUUUAAAGCCAGUGUUCCACCCCAGGUUGGCUUCAACCUCCAGCUUCCUUGAUCUAAUAAGAACAGUCUGCCCCAGAGUUGCUUCUGUCGCUUCAAUUUUUAAAGACUAAAUACAGGUUCUUCUGUUUCAUUAAAACAACAGUGAGCAAACCUUCCAGCCUGCCCUCCACCCACAGCUCCAGGCUCCAGGGGGCACAGGGCAAGGCUAAAGAAGAGAGCUUUAUGAAAUAAACAUCCCGCCCCCGUGCUGACUUCCUGUUUCACCUGUGGCAAUGCAAGCUGCUGGUGUGCAGCAGGUCUCCCCUGUGAACAUCCC
This 1084-nucleotide long non-coding RNA is filed under the name Fukomys damarensis (Damara mole-rat). RNAcentral describes it as "lncRNA (ENSFDAG00000032755.1)". The record is from RNAcentral. Lineage: Eukaryota; Metazoa; Chordata; Mammalia; Rodentia; Bathyergidae.